This is a long non-coding RNA of Drosophila mojavensis, 508 nucleotides long. RefSeq lists it as uncharacterized. NCBI's taxonomy places the organism in Eukaryota, Metazoa, Arthropoda, Insecta, Diptera, Drosophilidae. The transcript has 3 exons. The record is from RefSeq and is a predicted model, not a curated record.
AAUUAUAUGUAAAUAAAUAUUUAUUUUUAAAUUUCCAAUUUAUUUAUUUACAGCUUUUAUAACUACUCUCAAUACGCAAAAAUAUAUAUAAACACACACACAUAUUUAUGUAUGCACAUGUAUAUUCUAUAAAUUAAAAACCAUAUUGCAGUUUAUGACUUGCAUUGAUUUAGUGACGCAUCCAUAAGUCCAGCCCGCAGUUCCGGAUCCCACAAGAUAAUCAUGGAGCGUAUUCCACAUUCCCAAAUUAAAGAGCAUUAUUAUUAACCUUUAACAUUUUCACGCUCGAAAGUUAUGAGAAGCAAAAUCAACAAAUUAUUCAGAAAGUCGGCUGGAAAAGGGAAUGCGGAUAGCUAAGGAACGUUGCUGUACAGUGAGGCGUGACUAAUCAGGCAACAAAACUUUUGCCGGCUGCUAAUUGCCGUGAAGGCGCCGCAACUGUCCAUAGAUAUAUAUACUUUAUAUGCAUAUAUGUAUGUAUUUAUUUAUAUAUGUAUGUAUAUAUGAA